UAAAUAAAUAGAAUUUUUUUAAUCAAGUUUGGUUUGGUUUGGUUCGGUUUCUAGUACUCAAAACCGAACUUGAACCGAACCAAUCGGUUUUUAUAUUGUAAAAACCGAAGCAGACCUGAUUGUUGUUCGGUUUUGAUCGGUUUUUGUCGGUUUGGAUUGGUUUGGAUCGGUCCUUUCGGUUUGGAUCGGUUUUGAACACCCUUAAUUUUACAUGCACAUUAAGGAGCUAAAUGCAUUUGGAAGCUGUUAUUCAUUGGCCAUAAAUGGUUGAAAACUGUUAACCUUCUGAGCUAUUUUAAUUUUAUUUAUUUUGUUUUCGCUUCUUCCUUUUGUCAUUCUAUUGAUUGAUUUAUUUAUUUUAGUAAGUUAUGAAGGAAAACAAAAUUUGAUAUUCUAUCGAAGGAUAUGCAAUAGUGAGGUCAAGGAAGCUCUUAAUAAAACAGUAAAUGGUAGAGCCAACAGAUCUGAUUAUAUCCCUAACAAAGUGUGGAAAUGUUUAGGUGAAGAGGGUGCGGUAGCUAACUAAGUUAUUUAAUAAGAUCUUACGGUCCAAGAAAAUGCCUAAUGAAUGGAAGAGAAACACCUUAGUUCCUAUUUACAGAAAUAAAGGGGAUAUUUAAAAUUGUGCAAACUAUAAAGGGAUUGAGCUUAUAAGUCAUACUAUAAAAUUGUGGAAAAAAGUGAUUGUGCAUAGGUUGAGAUUGGAAACUAAUAUUUCUAAUAAUCAAUUUGGUUUCAUGCUGGGUAGGGUGAUUGCAAAAGCAAUUUAUCAACUCAAGGGAUUAGUGGAAAAAUAUUGAAUCAAAGGUAAAGAUUCACACAUGAUUUUCAUUUAUUUGGAAAAGUUUGGAAGGCUUUGGAAAAGGAAUUCAGGUUUCCUAUAUUAGAGUUAUAUAAGAAUGUAUGGGGGGCAACAACCACUGUAAGAAUGUCUUGCAGUGAAACCAAGAGCUUUUCUAUAAGGAUUGGACUAUAUCAGGGAUCAUCUUUGAGCCUUUAUUUGUUUGACCUAAUUCUAGAUGUUUUGACUGAGUAUAUUCAAAAGGAAAUCCUCAAAUGCAUGCUUGUUGCAGAUGAUGUAGUUCUUAUUUCGAGCAAGAGAGAAGAUAUUAAUAGCAAAUUUGAGAGAGGACCUUGGAAUUGAAAGGUUUCCAUUGAGUAGUUUUAAGACGAAAUAUUUGCACUAUAAUUUUGAUAAAAGGUCAGUUUGUAUGAACUUGGAAGUGAGAUAGAGCGAUCAAAUCAUCUCUCAAGUAGAAAAGUUUAAAUAUUUAGGAGCUAUUAUUCAACAUGAUGUAGAAAUUGAUGGGGAUGUUGCACAUAAGAUGUAAGCUGGGCAGUUUAUGGGAGAAAGGUUGAAGGAGUUGUUUGUGAUCGAAAAGCAUCUAAUGAACUUAAAUGGAAGCUUUAUCGAAUUACUAUAAGACCAACUAUGUUAUAUGGUAGUAAAUAUUGUGCUUUAAAGGGACAACAUGAGUAUAAAGUUAGAGUAGCAUAUAUGAAAAUAUUGAUAUGAAUGAAUGUGCAUAUAUAAAAAGAUAAAAUCCAAAAUGAACGUGUACGAGAAAAGGUGGGCGUUACAUCUAUUGAGAGAGAAAUGGUAGAAAAUCAUUUUAGACGGUUUUGACAUGUACAAAAAAGGUUGUGGGAGGCAUUGAUGAGGAGAGUGGCAUGCAUAAUCUUGAGCUCUAUAAAGAGGGGUAAAGGAAGAUCAAAGAAAACAUUUAUGGAAGUUAUUGAAGAGAUCUCUUAACAAUAUUUUUAAAAACUUGGUUAAUGAUAGAGUAGAAUAGCAUUGUACAAUCCAUAUAGAUGAUCUCACCUAAUGAGAUAAAACUUCUUCUUGUUGUUUUUAAGUUUUCCUGUUCAUUAAUUUUUUUGUACUUCAAUGAGUUGUGCUUGCAUUAUGUUCAAGCAUUAUUCAGCUAGUAUGACUGAAUUCAUGCUGUAGCCUAAAUCAAUUUGAGCACCUUGAGGCAUGUGGAGGUGAUGAUUGGUUUUAUAAUGACAUAGAACUUUGAAAUAAAAGUAAUUAUGUCAAUUGGAUGAAAACGUGAUAUAAGUGUGAGGUAAUUAGGUUCUUCAUCAUUUUAAAUAUUAACUUGUUUGAGUUAUGGUGUGAGCGCAAGGGGGCUCUUUUUGUUAUUCUUCAUUGGUUAACAUAUUGCUGAAUACCCCUCUUUUGGUCUUUUUAAACAAAAAAUUUUGCCAUCAGAUUUUUCUUCAGUUGGACAACGAUUUCUGUGGGAAAAUAGAAUGACUUCUGGAAAUCUCUCUCAAUUGGCUCAAGCUUACACACUGGAUUGAGUAUCAUCAGUUUCUCUCAGGUUCAUCUGUGGGUUCCGUUGACCAAAAUUUCUUCUUCUUUCCUUGUGUUUGCGAUAGAACUUAUUGAUGGUGCUUUGGGGCUCUGCAACAGGGGAACAAGGUGUUAGCCGAAAUUUUGAGGAACUCGAAUAUCUUUUGCAUAAGAGAAAUGAGAGCAGUUAUUGAAGAACUGAAGAUUUGUUGGGCUAAAGCCUAAAGGUUUCAGGAAGGUCCAUGCUUUCUCCAAUUCUGCUGAAGCGAUAUGUAAUAUAUCCAACCUUUAUAUCAAGAGUCACUCAGCUUUCAAAAUCGUUGAAGAGAUGAGAGGUUUAAUCAUGCUACUCCAUUUUUAUUUGGAGUACGUGAUUGGGAGAUAAUCUAUACCAAGAAAUUCAGAUGAGUGAGCAUAUUGGUUGGCAAAAGAAGCUCGUAAUAUGACUGUUGAGGAUGCCAUCAUCAGAGAACCUUCUCAACAAUGCAUGGGACUGACUGACUCAUGAGGAUUGAUUUGACCAAGAAUAUGGUAACCUUUGGGAGUGACUGUUUUUUCUCUUAAUUUUUUAAGACUCUGUUUUCCUUUUUAUUAAAAAAAAAAAAAGAAUUGCCCCCUAAAUUUUCAAUUUUCUUUCAGGUUAUUUGUUAAUAAUUUUAUCAUUCAAACUUUGUUCCUUUUAUUAUUUUACAUUA
Molecule: long non-coding RNA, 2994 nt
Organism: Prosopis cineraria
Lineage: Eukaryota; Viridiplantae; Streptophyta; Magnoliopsida; Fabales; Fabaceae
Exons: 4
Source: RefSeq, a predicted model, not a curated record